Small nucleolar RNA from Apus apus (common swift), 75 nucleotides. RefSeq annotates it as small nucleolar RNA R38. The record is from RefSeq and is a predicted model, not a curated record. The transcript has a single exon. NCBI's taxonomy places the organism in Eukaryota, Metazoa, Chordata, Aves, Apodiformes, Apodidae.
CUGAGCGAGUGAUGAUAAAGUUAUCCCUGUCUGAGGUUAAUCUUUCCUCUGUGGAAACGUAAUUCUGAGGCUCAG